AGAUGUGGCGGCAGAGGAGGGCAAGGCCGAAGGAGCAGACAGCACCGCUUCUUGGGGAGUUGUGAAGGCAUCAUGCGGAGGGCCGAGCUUAGCAGCCAAGUGGAGGACAGCACCCUCCAUGCCUGGAUUCGUUACUCGCUCGUUCUCGAUGUUGAGCUGCUGGCAUAUUGCAGCACAACUAGAGAUGUACGGAUGCCCCCAUCUUGAUCUUACAGAAUCAGAGGUGCAGCCGCAAGAAAGGUCUAGCUACACCCUCUCGGUUUUCUCUGCUCUGCCAACACUAGUGGAAUAUGAUCACAUCCCAGAGUUUCACUCUUUUUGCCCAGGCUGGAGUACAGUGGUGCGAUCUUGGCUCACUGCAACAUCUGCCUCCUGGAUUUUCAAGUGAUUCUCCUGUCUUAGCCUCCUGAGUAGCUGGGAUUACAGGAGGGAUCAGUGUCAUUUAGGGAUGUGACUAUGGGCUUCACUCAAGAGGAGUGGCAUCAUCUGGACCCUGCUCAGAGGACCCUGUAGAGGAAUGUGAUGCUGGAGAACUACAGCCACCUUGUCUCAGUAGAGGGUAUUGCAUUCCUAAACCAGAAGUGAUCCUCAAAUUGGAGACAGGCAAGGAGCCAUGGAUAUUAGAGGAAAAAUUUCGAAGCCAGAGUCAUCUGGGUGAGUUAGUGAAUUAAUUAAUACCAGUAGAAACUAUUCAAGAAUGAAGUUCAAUGAGUUUAACAAAGGUGGAAAAUGUUUCUGUGAUGAAAGCAUGAAAUAAUUCAUUUUGAAGAGGAACCUUCUGAAUAUAAUAACAAUGGGAACAGCUUCUGGCUGAAUGAAGACCUCAUUUGGCAUCAGAAGAUUAAAAAUUGGGAGCAACCUUUUGAAUACAAUGAAUGUGGGAAAGCUUUCCCUGAGAAUUCACUCUUCCUUGUACAUAAGAGAGCUUACACAGGACAGAAAACAUGCAAAUAUACUGAACAUGGGAAAACCUGUUAUAUGUCAUUUUUUAUUACUCAUCAGCAAACACAUCCAAGAGAGAACCACUAUGAAUGUAAUGAAUGUGGAGAAAGUAUCUUUGAGGAAUCCAUUCUCUUUGAACAUCAGAAUGUUUACCCAUUCAGCCAGAAUUUAAAUCCCACUCUAAUUCAGAGAACCCACUCAAUUAGCAAUAUUAUUGAAUAUAAUGAAUGUGGAACCUUUUUCAGUGAAAAAUUAGCCCUUCAUUUACAACAGAGAACACAUCCAGGGGAAAAACCUUAUGAAUGUCAUGAAUGUGGAAAAACCUUCACCCAGAAGUCAGCCCACACAAGACAUCAGAGAACACACACAGGGAAAACCCUAUGAAUGUCACGGAUGUGGGAAGACCUUCUAUAAGAAUUCAGACCUCAUUAGAAAUCAAAGAAUUCACACAGGGGAGAGACCUUACAGAUGUCAUGAAUGGAGAAAUCCUUCAGUGAAAAGUCAUCCCUUACUCAAAAUCAGAGAACACACGUGGGGAGAAAUCAUGAAUGUCAUGAAUGUGGGAAAACCUCGUUUAAGUCAGUUCUAACUGUGCAUCAGAAAACACACAGGGGAGAAGCCCUAUGAAUGCUAUGCAUGUGGCAACACCUUUCUCAGAAAAUCCGACCUCAUUAAACAUCAGAGAAUUCACACAGGAGAAAAACCUUAUGAAUGUAAUGAAUGUGGGAAGUCAUUCUCCGAGAAGUCAACCCUUACUAAACAUCUAAGAACACACAGAUGGGAAAUCUUAUGCAUGUAUUCAAUGUGGAAAAUUUUUCUGCUGCUACUACAGUUUCACAGAACAUCUGAGAAGACACACAGGGGAGAAACCUUUUGGAUGUAAUGAAUGUGGGAAAACCUUCCAUCAGAAGUUGGCCCUAAUUGUUCACCAGAGAACUCAUAUAAGACAGAAACCCUAUGGAUGUAAUGAAUGUGGAAAAUCAUUCUGUGUGAAGUCAAAACUCAUUGCACAUCAUAGAACAUACACAGGGGAGAAACCCUAUGAAUGUAAUGUUUGUGGAAAAUUAUUAUUAAGUCAAAACUAACUGUACAUCACAGAACACACUUGAGGUGAAACCCUAUAAAUGUAGUAAGUGAGGGAAAUUACUCUGGGUGAAGUCAGAACUUUGUAGAGCAGAGAACAUAAAGGGUGAGAGAAAUCUGUUAAUAUAAUGAUAAUGAGAACACCUUUGCCCUGAAGUCAGUUCUCACAGUAGAGAAGAGAACUUAAAGAGGGAAAAAACAAUAUGAAGAUAUGGAAUGCAGGAAAACAUUAUUCUGGGAUUUGGGCCAUAGAUUAUGUUUAAGAACUAAAAGUGAAAAACACUUAUUGGUGAAUGAAUAUAGGAAACAUUUUGCUCAAUGCCACACCUCAGUAAACAUCAGAGAGUUCACACAGGGUGAAACCUGGCUCAACAUCCGUAAGUUGAGAAGGGAUGCAUUUUUUUGCUACUACUACAGUUUCACAGAAUAUCUGAGAAGACACACGGGAGAAACUUUUUGGGUGUAAUGAAUGUGGGAAAACCUUUCACCAGAAGUGGGCCCUAAUUGUUCACCACAGAACUCAUAUAAGACAGAAACCCUAUGGAUGUAAUGAAUGUGGAAAAUCAUUCUGUGUGAAGUCAAGAGGCCACAGAAAAUGCACAAACUAUAGGAAAGCAUUUACUAUGAGGUUAUAUUUUAUAGAGUAUAUGUAAUAAGAAGUACCUUCUUAGUGAACAUCAGAUAGUGAGAAAGUAUUUUUAACUGUAUCCAAUGUGUGGACACUUUAGGUUAAAAUCUAAAUUUAAUAUAGACCAGAGGUGUUGAAUUGCAGGAUAUCUAGCAAUUUAAGAACAUGUAGAGAAACAUGCCACUGCACUCCAGCCUGAGUGACAGACACUUUAAAAAAAAAAUAGAUUUUGCUAUUGGGUAAGGUAUAGUAGUCGGCAGCAGAAUGGACUGAUUGAGGACAACUAUAAAAUUACAAAAAAUAUUUAAAUGCAACUUAUUGCUAUAGAAGCAAAGAGAACUAAAGGAGCAAAAUUCUAGAGAGUGGUAAAUCCCAGAAAGCACAUGCACAGAAUGCAGCUCUUUGCUCUGGGGACCCUUUCCACUUCUGGCUAUAGGGAAGAACCUGAAUACUGAACUUGGUUCAGGCAGAGGGCCAUACCCUGGGGGUCAGGGGAAGGCAUGGGGGGGACCAGAAACCAGGAGAACAAUCAAGACUGCAAUUAAAAAAAAAUGGAUACAUUAGGGGCUUCAAACACAUAAUUUCUCAAGAAAUUUCCAGAUAUCUCAUGCUGCAUAGGGCAGGAGGCUGAAAAGCUAAUUUGAGAAGAAAACAAGUAGGAUUUUUGUUUUGUUUUGCAUUUUGCAAUAUGGAGGAGAAAUGAUUAGACCUUAGGAAGUGCCAGUGGGUUGGUCCUUUCAUGAACAUGCCAUCAGUAAAAGCCCUGGAAACAAGGUCAUACCAGAGAUUCAUUGUACCUUGUCACAACUGCAAACAAUAUCUGAGUGGAAUAUUCAAAAACUUGCUUAGAAAGAAAACUCUAGGACAGAUGGCUCCACUGAAGUUAUUCCAAAUAUUUAAUAAAUAAAGCAUACCAGGCUUUUAUAAACUCUUCUAGAAGAAAAAAGUUGGAACUUUUCCAAUUCAGUUUUUCAGGCCAGUGCAACCUUGAUACCAAAACCAAUAAAACAAACAAACAAACAAAAAACAUAAAGCUAUAGACCAAAGUCUCAUAGAUUUAGAUGCAAAAUCCUAAAAUUGAAAAAAAAAGUCUAGUCAUAUCCAUAAACUGUAUCAUCACCAAGAGAUGUUUAUUAGGGCAAUCAAAAGAUGAUUUAUUAUUUUUUAAAAAAUCAAUGUGGCCUUCCCUUCCUCUUUCUUUUGAUUCCCCUCUUUGAGUUUUUAUGUGUCUCUUUUGCCUUCCCUUCCCAGAGUGGAGGAGUUAGACCUGCAUUGUGGGAUGAGAGGAGUUGUGGCUAUGUGUCUGCUGGCACCAAGAGGGCUGAGGGUGAGGUGUGGAAGGGACAGGGGGAGGAGAUGGGCAGCAUUGUUAAGAGAUUGGUACCACUGAGCAAAUAUGUUGAGAAUGAUGAUGGCAAGGUUUCUCCCUGUUAGAGAAGGUAUUUGUAGAAAUAGGAAUGAGGAGAGCUAGAAAACCUGGAGUGUGGGAUUAGAAUAGAACUCAUAUCUUUUAAAUACAUAGGAACAAUAGAGAAAUUGUUGGGUGUGCCCAUAUACAUAUAUUUUGUGAUUCAUUCUACCGAGAGGACAUAAAUGCAGUCACAGCUCAGUAACAGUAAACACACCAACUGCCAAGUUAUUAUUUCCUAAAUACUAUCCACAAAAAAGGGGACCAGGGAUGAUUCCUAGUCGGAGAUUGGGAGAAAAAGAAGAUGAGCCUGAAUCAUUUCAUGUACCUAACAGAAAGAAAAUACUCUGGCUGGGCUCAGUGGCUCAUGUUUGUAAUUCUAGCAUGUUAGGAGGUCGAGGUGGGUGUGUUGCUUGAGCCCAGGAGUUUGAGACCAGCCCAGGCAACAUGGCAAAACUGUCUCUACAAAAAAUAUAAAAAUUAGCCAGGCGUGGUGGCAUGCACCUGUCAUCCGAGAUACUCAGGAGGCAGAGAGGUGGGAGGAUCACUUGAGCCUGGGAGAUUGAGACUGCAUCGAGCUGUGAUCAUGCCACUGCACUCCAGCCUGGAAGACAGAGUGAGACCCUGUCUCAGGAAAAAAGAAAAAAAAAAGAUGUUGCUCAGCAAGUUAAUGGACAAACUGUGCAAUAUCCAGAAAACUUUAACAUUCUUCAAAGAAAUAGAAAACACAAUCCUAAAAUUUAUAUGGAAACCACAAAAGACCUAGAAUAGUCAGAGUUAUCCUGAGCAAAAGGAAUCAAACUGGAGGGAUCAUAUUACCUGACUUCAAAUUAUUCUACAGAGCUACAGUAACCAAAACAGCAUG
This 4926-nucleotide long non-coding RNA is filed under the name Homo sapiens (human). RNAcentral's name for it is "non-protein coding lnc-ZNF33B-4:14". The record is from RNAcentral. Lineage: Eukaryota; Metazoa; Chordata; Mammalia; Primates; Hominidae.